Molecule: unclassified non-coding RNA, 29 nt
Filed under: Mus musculus (house mouse)
Lineage: Eukaryota; Metazoa; Chordata; Mammalia; Rodentia; Muridae
Description: oocyte_clustered_small_RNA11058
Source: RNAcentral
AUGGGAUCUGAGCUCGGCACAGUCUCUGA